GAGCGCCCGGUGCCAUGAGAGUGGCACGCCGGGUGCGGGAAGCGGCCCGAAGAAACGGCUCGAUCGAAAGACGAGACCGCGCUUCGGGCCGACUUCAC
Streptomyces agglomeratus is the source of this 98-nucleotide non-coding RNA. Lineage: Bacteria; Bacillati; Actinomycetota; Actinomycetes; Kitasatosporales; Streptomycetaceae. The record is from Rfam.